GAUCCAACCCUAUCUCUAUCUCGAGACAUCAAAUAUCAAUAGAGUGAUUGUACCUUCUCGAUACAACCAAAUCACUGUAACCAAUCAAGAACGAUCAACGUCAGGAAGACACUCACAUCUCUAUAAUGAUGGAAGAUCUCUAGACUUAAUAUUUAGUGAGAAGAUUUAAGUUUAGAUCUCUUCUAAAUCAAUAGAUUUGAUAUCCAACUAAUUAAAUUCAGAUCAGCAUAUCAACAUGUCUAACCAGCCU
Molecule: long non-coding RNA, 250 nt
Filed under: Elaeis guineensis (African oil palm)
Lineage: Eukaryota; Viridiplantae; Streptophyta; Magnoliopsida; Arecales; Arecaceae
Description: long non-coding RNA (EGUI_LNC070683)
Source: RNAcentral